GAGUUUGAUCCUGGCUCAGGACGAACGCUGGCGGUAUGCUUAACACAUGCAAGUCGAACGAGAAGGAAGAGCUUGCUCUUCCUGAAAGUGGGGAACGGGUGAGUAACGCGUGGGUAACCUACCCUUUGGAAAGGAAUAGCCUCGGGAAACUGGGAGUAAUGCCUUAUAAGAUACGUUUGUCGCAUGGCAUUUGUAUUAAACGCUCCGGCGCCAUAGGAUGGACCCGCGUCCCAUUAGCUAGUUGGUGAGAUAACAGCUCACCAAGGCCACGAUGGGUAACCGGUCUGAGAGGGCGAACGGUCACACUGGAACUGAGACACGGUCCAGACUCCUACGGGAGGCAGCAGUGGGGAAUAUUGCGCAAUGGGGGCAACCCUGACGCAGCAAUACCGCGUGAGUGAAGAAGGUUUUCGGAUCGUAAAGCUCUGUUAUUGGGGAAGAAAAAAAGACGGUACCCAAGAAGAAAGUUCCGGCUAACUACGUGCCAGCAGCCGCGGUAAUAUGUAGGGAACAAGCGUUGUCCGGAUUUACUGGGCGUAAAGGGCACGCAGGCGGUUUUUUAAGUCAGAUGUGAAAGGCCACAGCUCAACUGUGGACAUGCAUUUGAAACUGAAAGACUUGAGUAUUGGAGAGGCAAGUGGAAUUCCUAGUGUAGCGGUGAAAUGCGUAGAUAUUAGGAGGAACACCGGUGGCGAAGGCGGCUUGCUGGA
RNAcentral lists this ribosomal RNA (710 nucleotides) under uncultured bacterium. RNAcentral describes it as "bacterial SSU rRNA". It matches the Rfam family "Bacterial small subunit ribosomal RNA", at positions 9 to 733 of the family's 1533-position model. The record is from RNAcentral.